AUGCAGCAGGGGCAGCCCUGGGCAGGCGUUGGAGAGAGGAUGGUGGAAGGGGGCUUGCUGCCUGCCUGGUGUGUGAGCAUCCACCUCGAGCAGGCUCAGAUGAAGCUCUGCCACCAGCCCUGCAGAGGGGCAGCGCCUCGGCCAGGCCUGGAGCCCGAGUCCCCCCCAGCCCACCCCGGCUGCACACUCGCGUUGCCUGGUGCCUGUUGCCACGCUACCGGCGAUCCCAGUGCCCAGGCGUCCCAGCGCUGUGCGUCACACUGGUGCUGCGCCGAGGAAAAGUGCCUGGAUUUGGAGCAAACGGGCUGGUUUGAACAGCCCAGAGGGAGCCAGAGCGAGAAGCGCAGGUGGAAAUUCACUCCUGGUGCUUCCCAGACCCGGGGAGCAGGAGGGGAGGAGCGGAGCGCUGUGUCAGGGAUGUGCUUAACUGUGGAUAUGACCUUGCUGUGGUUCAUCUUUUCCUUUGAGCUCCCCAAUAAAUCAGACACUUAUCUCUGCUUAUUGCUUAUUUAUGACUUCAUUUUGCCAGCAGUGCCAGGGAUGUGCAGGGUCGGGGGGGCUCUGCUGCCCCUUGCAGUUGCGCGUAGCUCAGCUGCUGAGCGUGCACGUGCAUCUGCGCGUCUCCGCACCACCCUGACUAAUCGCAAGAGCAGUAAACGAUAACAGAAAGGCCCUGCUGGGGACCUGCGGGCUCAGGCAGCAAAUGUUACUCAGCCAUCUGCUCAAACCAGUUGAACUCCUGUCCUUUCGUGCGUUUUGAGCAGACUUCACACCCUGGCGGGCAGCUGGUGCUGACAGCACACGCCCCGCGGUCCCCGGGGCUGCACAGUGGCUGCAGACCCACUCCUGAGGGUCUUUGCCCUCUGUGAUCCAUGCGAUGGGCUGUGUCCUUGGCAUGGCUCCAUCCGGCUCCUCCAGCCCCCUGGAUGUGAGCCGCCCCAUCCUGCAGUCAGCAGAGAGCAGUGAGGUGCUGCGGCUGUGUUGGGAUGCUCAUGGAGGCUGUGGGCGCUCCCGCAGCAUGCGGCUCCAUCCACAUCCCACAGCAGCACCGCGUGCCGCCACCACCACACGCAGCCCAUGGUACGUGAAUUCAACACCACUGAACCUCCUGGGACCAGGGAGCCUGAACCCUGGCCAGGCAGGGCCCUGGCCCAGGCAAGCAAUUAAACUGGGAUGCUGUAGAAGUCACAGAAUGGUUCCUUUUUGUCCAGGGCUCUAAAUAGGCAUGUGCCCCCCUAAUGCCCCAGUACCUCUUGGUGGAGUCAGGGCUGAAUGCUGUGUGUAUGAGCAGCACUUUGCUCCCCUGGCAGCCGAGAUGUGUGCCGCUGGCGUGGCUGUGUGAGAAGUGACAACCUCGGCAAGCUCAGGCUCUGGUUUUAACUUUAAGAGUGCAGUUUGUCCAGACAGGAAUGAAUUCCAGCAGUCCUCUGCCUGCCUCGUGUGGGAGAGCAGACUAGAUGAUUGCAGUGGUACUUUCUGGCUUUAAAAUCUAUGACUUUCUCAGUUCCCUUUAUGCUGGAUGUAAAGCUGAUGAAGCACUGCGGGAUGCACAGACCUGUGGAUAACUGCUGGGUGGAAGCAGAUGGAGGCAGGCUCUGUGCCGCUGUCUGCAUUGCUGUAGCUCAGGGUAGGAAUACACAUGUCCUCGUAUUGAUUUUCUGUC
Anser brachyrhynchus (Pink-footed goose) is the source of this 1663-nucleotide long non-coding RNA. The record is from Ensembl. NCBI's taxonomy places the organism in Eukaryota, Metazoa, Chordata, Aves, Anseriformes, Anatidae.